ACAAAAUCCCAAAAAUCUCAUAGUCCACAAAUAAAAUCACAAAGAUUCCAAAGUCCACAAAUAAAAUCCCAAAAAUCGCAAAGCCACAAAUAAAAAUCCCAAGAAUCCAAAAUCCCACAAAUAAAAUCACAAAAAUCCAAAGCCCACAAACAAAAUCCCAAAAAUCCAAAAUCCACAAAUAAAGAUCCAAAAUCCAGAGAUCCAAAAUCCAAAGUCCAUAAAUAAAACCCAAUCAAAUCUACCAAACCUAUGUUAUCUAAAUACCUCCAACCCAAGUCGAAUUCAUGGGCUUUCCAAAUGGGGCCUUUAUUAUGAAUUAAUUCUAUGAAUUAGGUUCCUGGGUUUUCCAAAGGCCCCUCUAUCAUGAAUUAAUUCGACAAAUUAAUUUUAUUGGUUUGCCAAAUAGGCCCUUUAUCACAGAUUAAUUCUAUGAAUUAAUUUCAUGGGCCCUCCUUGUCAUAGAUUAAUUUCAUGAAUUAAUGGGCCCUCCAAAUGACUCCUUAUCAUAAAUUAAUUCAAUGGGCUCUCCAAAUGGCCCCUAUCAUGAAUUAAUUUCAUCAAUUAAUUCAAUGGACGUUACAAACGGGCUCCUAGCAUGAAUUAAUUUCAUGAAUCAGCUUCAUGAACAUCUCGAUUUCAAACGACGAAACGUCGCUAAACUAAACCCAAAUUUCAAACGACCGAAACGUCGCUAAACUAAACCCAAAUUUCAAACGACCGUAACGUCGCUAAACUAAACCCAAAUUUCAAACGACCGAAACGUCGCUAAACUAAACCCAAAUUUCAAACGUCCGAAACGUCGAUAAACUAAACCCAAAUUUCAAACGACCGAAACGUCGAUAAACUAAACCCAAAUUUCAAACGACCGAAAAGUCGUUAAACUAAAUCCAAAUUUCAAACGACCGAAAAGUCGUUAAACUAAACCCAAAUNNN
This 933-nucleotide long non-coding RNA is filed under the name Ananas comosus (pineapple). RNAcentral's name for it is "long non-coding RNA (ACOM_LNC033440)". Lineage: Eukaryota; Viridiplantae; Streptophyta; Magnoliopsida; Poales; Bromeliaceae. The record is from RNAcentral.